Molecule: long non-coding RNA, 1561 nt
Organism: Tribolium castaneum (red flour beetle)
Lineage: Eukaryota; Metazoa; Arthropoda; Insecta; Coleoptera; Tenebrionidae
Exons: 3
Source: RefSeq, a predicted model, not a curated record
UAAUUCAGUUUGCCUUUUUUACUUGUCUGUUGCGUUGAGCGUUGACAGUUGACAGUUAACACCGCAGCAGCAACUAACAAUUUUCAGUGCCAGUGCAUUACAAGUUAUUCUACGGUGCAUCAUAGGUGUUUAAUCGUUGUUAAUAGGUUUUGGUUUGGUGUUGUGGGACAUAGAAUAUGGAAGGAGAGGACUCACUAAGUACAGAGACUCAUGGGUUUGACUUUCGAGCCAUUUUCCUUGAAGAAUGUACAAAUAAUGAAGGAUAUUUCGAUAAAGAAGAUGAUAUACGCCAAAGCAUUUACAUUCUACUUUCCAAUAGUACAAAUUUAUCACUAAAGUGUGUUACAUUAAUAAAAAAAUUUAUUUCAUAUGUCGAUAAAAUAAUAAUAACAAUGGAAAGAGAUCCUCUUGAUCUGAUAAGCAUACUGAUAAGUAAACCUGAAAUAAUCACAGCGGAAUACAAGUGUACGAAUCUAACACCAGUUUUAUUCACAAAGCAGCGUCCCACAUUAUUCACAGAACUUGUACUUGAGGCUAAUUGUAACAAGAAAACAAACAUUAAAUCAAAAGUUACUGUAAUUGCUUAUGAAGAAAUAGAAAAUAAGAAAAUUGGAUCACAACACAUUAUGUAUACAACACAGCCAGGUUCAAUAAGCGAUUCAUCAAGCUCAGCUGAUUUACUAGAAGAUGAUGAUUCUAAUUCCAAUCAAUCUCUUACUCGUAAGAGAAAGAGAAGAACAUGUCAAAAAGCAGGGGACUUCGAGCUUUUAGGACAUGAAGACAACUGUCAAUUUAACAAUACUGUGAAAUGUCAAGUAGAAAUAUUGAUAUUAGUAGGGGAUAGAUCUUACUGUGAAACACUGGCCAAGCACCUUGGACUGAUUUGGCUUGAAGGUCUGCUGAAAGGAGAGGAAGCCAUUGAACGUCGUUUGCAAAAUUAUGAUAAUAAAAUUUAUCGAUUAGCUCACACAGAAAUUAUUAAGAAAAUGAUGAAUGGCUACAGCAGCAUCUGCAUCACCACAUCGACAUCAGCUUGGAAGUACAUAUCAGCAUGUACGAAAGGAAUUAUUUACACAAAAAAUAAAUCUAAUUUGUAUAAACAACUCCAAACGAGCGCAAAUUACUGUGUUUUUGUCGAAGAUAAUAUUGUAGCUUAUGUAGAUGCUAUUAGUAAAAUUGUUCAAAAAUCAUUGUUAUGCAAUAUUUUAGUGGAAGCAAAUUAUCAAGUAGAUGAAAAAGCUUAUACUAAAAUCAAAUUACCUAUAACGGUUUUAAUACCUCUUUACAUUGUUAAAUAUUUCUCACAGAGCUUUAUGGUGACACAUGGAACUUGGGCAAAUUCUAAAAUUUUAGAUAUAUUUGAGCGUAGAGAUAUUGUCUAAGGCUCCAUGUAUUGAUUCUCUGUAAAUACAUACUAAUUUGAUACUAAUAGUUUGCAAAAUUACUGUGCUUUUAUGUUUAGUUUGUAACCUAAAUUACUGAUGAUAUCAAAAUUAAAAGUAAAUUGUACAAUACCUUUGUCUAAUAAACAAACUGAAGAAAGUUAGAACAUAAAGUUUAA